Molecule: long non-coding RNA, 2203 nt
Organism: Oryzias melastigma (Indian medaka)
Lineage: Eukaryota; Metazoa; Chordata; Actinopteri; Beloniformes; Adrianichthyidae
Exons: 4
Source: RefSeq, a predicted model, not a curated record
GGACCUGGCCCCCGGGCCUUGGCUUUAGCACAUAGAAACACAAAGAAUACUUUCUGCUAAAAGUACUAAAUCACUUCAUGCGUCUUCUAUGGUUCACGUUCAGUCUAAACAGAAUGCAAAGUAGCCAUAAACCUGAACAACACAAAAAAAUAUCCUUGAGAAAUCUAAGACUGAAUAACUGGUAAUAGCUAAAGUGCCCUCUAGAAAACACACAUGAUUUCUUGAGGGAUGCAUAGAAUCACUAUGGACAUAAUGGAAAUCGUCAAAUACACACAUCUGUACAUAAAAAAACAUCACUUCUACAUUAACCCAUUCUUAAUGGACUGACAUCUUAAAACUACUACGCCUGUUUCCAUCUAUAUCUGAUUCUCUAUGGAAUCACUCAACUAAAUACAGUAGAAGACAUUACAACCAACACAACUGAUACUGUUUGCCAAGAUAUAAAUCCAAUUAUUAUGAUCACCAAUAAAUAACUUUACUAUCUUUAACUACAAAUUCGGACCAUCACUGGCCAGUUAUUAAAAACAUCCUCUGAUCCUCCUACGAAACGCAUAUCUCCACAUCUGUAAGAACACCGGUACUCAUUCAUUUAAUCAUUCAGGGAACAUAAAGACAUUUAUACUCUAUUUUCUUCCAUAAAUACACAGCUAUGUAUUUGUCCAUGUAUGUGUCGAAUCGUCUUUGGGCAAGACACUGAACCCCACAUUGCCUCUAAUGUUUGGUAGUGUGUGAAUGUGUUUGGAUGAAUGGGACUGUGGCUGUAAACUGCUGUCCUAGGAGGUAGUAAAGCACUACACAAGUAUAUACCAUUUAUUUAGCUCUAUAACUCAUAAAAACAUGUAAACAAAGGCAAAUACACGCAAACCAGAAAAAGAUGAGUCUCACUACUUAAACUAAUAACCCUGGAAUUACUUUAACUUUAAAGACAAACGCACAUCGUAGAUAGGUCAAAGUAUAACUAUUCCGUUACUGUAUACAUCAUUUAUGUUACUCUGUACAUUUCAUAAGGAACAGGUUAAAAAAACAUUUAAAAUCUGAUAUUAUUCUUUGCAUCAAAAUGCAUCUCAUAAGGAUUUUGUAGUAAAAAAUAUAUUUCUCCAGUUUGGACCUUAGGCUCCUCUCAUCAGUGCAGCUUGUUCAUGUGUGAAAUGAAAGACCUUGACUGCUAAAUGCUAAUCUUUGCUAACAGCCCUGACAGGAUUCAUUACCACCAAAGCCCCUUCAAGAGUCCAAAGAUAUGUGCAUUACCAUCAUGGCUUCCCCUCUAAAGUCUUCUCAGCUUUACUUUGUUACUAUGGAUACAGAUUAACGGAGAACAACAAGCAACCUUGUCAGCAUGCUUUGAGAAGGACUCCAUCCUCAACUGCAAGACCGAGUGCGUCCAGCAGAUGGCAGCAUUUCAUUUAGAAUAUGAAUUAAAGACUGGCGGUUUUAACCGGAGGACAGAAGGAAUUGGUCAGGUUGGUGGAAAGGCUUUGCUGCUGCUGCUGCUGGUGGUGGUGGACAUCCACGCGGGGAAAACUGCAAGAGCUCCUCCUUUUCACACCUUCCAUAUGGCAACCCGUCAGCUCGGAUGACAACAUCUGGCGGCUGUCUGAGUCCACGCGGGCCCAGGUGAUUAGCCGGAUGUCAUCAGAUGAUUGGAGGAAUCAAGAGAAAGAUGGCUGUGGGGAAGAGAAGUGCUUUUACAACAACGUCCAGCUGUUGAAAAUCCAACAAAAGAUCUCAAAUGAGCUGUCAAGUUACCUUUCUCCCAAAAAAAUGAUUAUUUUAGAGUUUCGUCCCCGUCGUUCUCGCUAAACUUGAGUUUUCACCAUCCAGGUAGGAAUUAUCUCUGAAUGGCGUGCGGCGUCCUCUCUAAUUAAAAUUGAUUCAGCACUAAUUAGCACAUGCAGGCGAGGCCCACGGUUUACAUCAUGUAGAACACGACAGCCGCGCUCGUCUCUAUAUACAGGACCGGGCCGUGGGAGUCGUAAAAACCCAGGUGGCAUUAAAAGGAUCCAAACCCAUGUGUAAAAAAAAAAAAAUACUGUUUGCUGGUUUCACAGGCAAUGUGAAAGAUGAAGAAAAAUAGCAGCUAUAAAGACUCAUUUCUGUGAUUGAGUUCUGUUGCGUUGUACAAUUAUGUGUUUAAAUUGUAGCUCCUUGAAAGAUCUCUAAUUUAAAGGCAUAAAAAGCUAAUUUUGUCUAUCUGACACUUAAU